Molecule: ribosomal RNA, 460 nt
Filed under: uncultured bacterium
Lineage: Bacteria
Description: partial 16S ribosomal RNA
Rfam family: Bacterial small subunit ribosomal RNA
Source: RNAcentral
CCUACGGGAGACAGCAGUGAGGAAUAUUGGUCAAUGGACGAGAGUCUGAACCAGCCAAGUAGCGUGAAGGAUGACUGCCCUAUGGGUUGUAAACUUCUUUUAUAAAGGAAUAAAACGAGGCACGUGUGCCUUUUUGCAUGUACUUUAUGAAUAAGGAUCGGCUAACUCCGUGCCAGCAGCCGCGGUAAUACGGAGGAUCCGAGCGUUAUCCGGAUUUAUUGGGUUGAAAGGGAGCGUAGAUGGGUUGUUAAGUCAGUUGUGAAAGUUUGCGGCUCAACCGUAAAAUUGCAAUUGAUACUGGCAGUCGUGAGUACAGUUGAGGUAGGCGGAAUUCGUGGUGUAGCGGUGAAAUGCUUAGAUAUCACGAAGAACCCCGAUUGCGAAGGCAGCUUACUAAACUGUGACUGACAUUGAUGCUCGAAAGUGUGGGUAUCAAACAGGAUUAGAUACCCUAGUAGUC